This is a non-coding RNA of Beta vulgaris subsp. vulgaris (sugar beet), 46 nucleotides long. The record is from Rfam. NCBI's taxonomy places the organism in Eukaryota, Viridiplantae, Streptophyta, Magnoliopsida, Caryophyllales, Amaranthaceae.
CAAACGGCCCUUUUUAGGGCCACCUAAUAAAAAAAGGAAAGUAUUU